AACGGUGAGUCAUCGAAUCUUUGAACGCACAUUGCGCCCAUUAGUAUUCUAGUGGGCAUGCCUGUUCGAGCGUCAUUUCAACCCUUAAGCCUAGCUUAGUGUUGGGAGACUGCCUAAUACGCAGCUCCUCAAAACCAGUGGCAGAGUUUUUACGUACUCUGAGCGCAGUAAUUCUAUUCUCGCUUUUGAACACGUCUAGACGAUAGCCAAAAACCGCUUGCUUCGGCAGCACUUUUUUAAUGGUUGACCUCGGAUCAGGUAGGAAUACCCGCUGAACUUAAGCAUAUCAAUAAGCGGAGG
This 300-nucleotide unclassified non-coding RNA is filed under the name uncultured Microdochium. RNAcentral's name for it is "sequence contains 5.8S rRNA gene, ITS2". The stretch from base 1 to 75 matches the Rfam family "5.8S ribosomal RNA", at positions 80 to 154 of the family's 154-position model. The record is from RNAcentral. Lineage: Eukaryota; Fungi; Ascomycota; Sordariomycetes; Xylariales.